RNAcentral lists this ribosomal RNA (253 nucleotides) under uncultured bacterium. Its description in RNAcentral is "partial 16S ribosomal RNA". It matches the Rfam family "Bacterial small subunit ribosomal RNA", at positions 524 to 776 of the family's 1533-position model. The record is from RNAcentral.
UACAGGGGGGGCAAGCGUUGUUCGGAAUUAUUGGGCGUAAAGGGUUCGUAGGCGGUCGACUCAGUCAGACGUGAAAUCCCUCGGCUUAACCGGGGAACUGCGUCUGAUACUGGUUGGCUUGAGUGCAGGAGAGGAAUGCGGAAUUCCAGGUGUAGCGGUGAAAUGCGUAGAUAUCUGGAGGAACACCGGUGGCGAAGGCGGCAUUCUGGACUGCAACUGACGCUGAGGAACGAAAGCCAGGGGAGCAAACGGG